UUUCUUUUUGUUCAAUGAUUUAUUUAAAAGUGUUCUUCAGUCUAAACUUUUCCACAUACUACACUAAAAAUAAAAACCCGAUCGUUGUUCUUUUUAUAAUGGGCAUCAAGCUUCUUUUUGCUGUCUUGGUUUCAAAAAGCCAUGAAGUUAUUAGUUUUUGAGGUGAUGCAAAACUAAACAUGCUGCUCUGAAAAAGCCUGUAAUUAAGCAGGCUGUAAUAAUUUUUCACUAUCUGGCUCCUUUUCAAAGCGCACGUCAUUCUUUUGUUCUUCCUGCAGUAUAUUCUCAUGGCAGCAGCAACCAUGCUGAUCCUAGGCAUUAAUUACUGUUUAGGAGAAUGGAAAGGAGGAGGGCAAAGAGAAUGGAGAGAGCAAAGAAAACAACACUACACAUUUCCACAAAACACCUCAUGGUGAUAUUUGAAAAAGCAGCUUACAAACACCCACCUACACAGCGCUUGUUGGAGGAUUUAUCUGCUGCUUUUAAGGAUCUAACAGUGACCUUCAGUUGCUCAGUCUAAAGAAGAUAUUGGCAUCAAAAUCUAUUUUUAGUUACCAAAAAAAAAAACCCAAAAAAACAAACAAAAAAAUUUUAAAAAACCAACAAAACCCCCUCCCCCAAAUCACAGUUAAACCAAUAUAUAUAUAUAUAUAUAUAUAUAUACACACACAUUUACAGAAACUGUUUGCCUGGAUUAUUCUGAAAAUGCCCCAGAGAAGUCUGCUAUUAAUCUAAAUUAAGAUCUGUUUCUACAUGAGAGAGAAUAAUUAAAAUUAGCCUGGGUAUUAACGAGUUUCCAGUGUAGCUUCUCCAGGUGCAAGUGACAAUUUUUAGACACGUAAUGACAAGGUAUUUAAUGCACACAACAAAUGGAGCCACAGACUCCUACAUCUUGUAACCAUGAGCUACAUGCUAGAGGUUUUCACAUGAAGAAGCUGGAAUCUGUGGAGUUGUCUUUUUUUAAGCAUAUUAAUAGCUCAGUAAUUAUUAAUGCAGAACAGUAAUUACUUAAUCACUCACUAAGUCUGUUUUGAAAGAUUCCCACAGUAGCCAAUGUUUCCUACUCUAUUCCACCCCCAGAAUUGCUAUUUAACUUGUAUUGAGCAAUAUUCUCUUUGAGGUGAAGGUUGGAAUCGGGCCUGGGAAAAAAAAUUAUUAUUUGAAGACCAUAAAAAUUUGAUGUGUUUGGCACUCAAAAAAGUACGGAAUGAUCCGAGGCCCCACAGGGUGGGAUUUAUGCUGUCAUUCUUUGUGUUCCAUAUUCAGCUGAUGCUCAGAGCCACAUCUGCCUGAGCCAGCUGAAGUUCAAAGCUGAGAGCCUUGGCUCACAACCUCAGGUACAAUAAUGUGCUAAUACAGCUAUAUAUGCCUUCUAAAUUGGAUCUGCCUCAUGCUUAACCAGCUCAGAGCAGGUGCAAAACAAGCCAAAGGUUAUCUCUGAAAAAUCAAUACAGAACUAAGUUAUUUAUACAGAUGGUUAUAAAGAAGAGUUGGUAGACUUUUUCAGUGGAGGAGAACUGAAAUUUUAGUGACCAUAUUAAUUUACCACGUUUGAGCACAGCCUUUAGGUUUCCAAAAUAUACAAAAGCAUAAAUGCAGUUAUUAAUAUAUGUCUCCAUGCUAUGGUUAUGUAACUUGACUGUAAUGAGAGAAACCAUUGGCACAAGAAGAAACUGAGGAAUCCAGAGUAUCCAGGAGAAAAAUCUGAAAGAAAUAUAAUCCAAAAUUCUUUCACAUCUCCAGCUGCUUUUCAAGGGACACAUUAGCCCAGAAUUUGGAUUGAAAAAGAAACACAGAUGUUGCAUAAUGUCAGUGUAUAAAUACUUCAGAACUUGUUCCUGCAUGUAGUACCCAAAUAGCACCCCAAGUCCCAGAUACUAUAUGCACAUAUGUAUAAAAGGACAGAUGUGUGUGAUCACAGGAAGAUUUUAAACUCAGUAAAAUAGAAGCUUUGUACUCUCUUGUACAGCCUGGCUUGUUCCUGUCUUGACUUUCACCCAUCCUGGGGUUUAGCAGAAGGAUGUGGGAGCUCUUGGUAGCUCUUGAACUCUGACACCUCUUGGUCUUGCCAGGCUCCUUCAUUUCAUCUUCAGGAAAUUUAAUCAAGUUUAUGGAUAACACCAGAGUAAAACACCUUGCAAGGAAGAUGACAAGGGCUGUGAAUUUACAUCACACAACAGCAGAAGGACAUUCUGCAUCUCCCUAUGGUUUUUAUAUCUAUAUAUCUCAGUGCUUUUCAUCUGAAAUAGAUACUAACACAACAUCACCACAGCAUAAAGCAGCAGUUGAUUUACAAGUUGUAUUCCUGUGAUGCGACAUCCAUCAAAGAAAAAAAAGACCUAUUUUCUAGGAUCAACAGAACAGUUAAUAAGAGCAUAAAUUACAAAAAUAUUCAUCUAAGCAAGCUAAUCUAUCAUGCUAAUCUUGAAGCAAUAAGUGUAAAAUACAACACUUAACAGGCCAAGAAUGUCAAACAUGCACGCUGAUAAUCGUUUGAACCAGUCUUGCUGUGCCAGAUCCAACUCUGCCAGUUUUCCAUCAACAUAAAACAUAGAUAGAAACUUAAAUAAUUAUGGCAUGCGGAAAAUAUCAUAUUAUUUGUGUGUUGAUAGAUUAUAUAUUAGCAUAGGAAUAGAUUUGAAGGAUAAAAAUUUCUGAUGGAAAGAAUUCAAAUCCCAAACAAUUCGUAUCUGCUCCAGACUUCUAAAUCACUUGCAGCUGGUAAACACUAUUACCAGCAGUACAAAGAUACCAUAAGGCUUUGUUCUGAGGCACUAAAACCUCCUGUUGUGAGAGAACACAUAGCCAAGCUGAUCCAAGAAAACAGACUUCGGAAAACCAAGAAAAAGUCAGCAUUUUCCUUCACAAGGUACAAAAUUCUAGAAAAGAUAUGAUGUAGCCCAAUACUGUGAAAAUACCUGAUUUUUUGUAAGUGGUAUUUGCCUUCCAGUCUUCCUCUACAAAGGAUAUAACUUAUCAACUCACUUCUAUUUCUCUUCCCCCCGUGAUUUGGGUGGAAAAUUCUCUUCUUGCUUGAGGAAACUCUAGGCCAGGGCAGUGCUUCUCAUCAGCCAC
Molecule: long non-coding RNA, 3075 nt
Organism: Taeniopygia guttata (zebra finch)
Lineage: Eukaryota; Metazoa; Chordata; Aves; Passeriformes; Estrildidae
Source: Ensembl